UGGGAUGUCGGCUAAUGGUAGGCCACAAGAUUCUGGAUCUUGUUAUCAUGGUUCGAGUCCAUGCGUCCCAGCCA
This 74-nucleotide transfer RNA is filed under the name Omnitrophica WOR_2 bacterium RIFCSPLOWO2_02_FULL_45_28. RNAcentral's name for it is "tRNA-Gln". It matches the Rfam family "tRNA". Rfam says of the family: Transfer RNA (tRNA) molecules are approximately 80 nucleotides in length. Their secondary structure includes four short double-helical elements and three loops (D, anti-codon, and T loops). Further hydrogen bonds mediate the characteristic L-shaped molecular structure. tRNAs have two regions of fundamental functional importance: the anti-codon, which is responsible for specific mRNA codon recognition, and the 3' end, to which the tRNAs corresponding amino acid is attached (by aminoacyl-tRNA synthetases). tRNAs cope with the degeneracy of the genetic code in two manners: having more than one tRNA (with a specific anti-codon) for a particular amino acid; and 'wobble' base-pairing, i.e. permitting non-standard base-pairing at the 3rd anti-codon position. Lineage: Bacteria; Pseudomonadati; Candidatus Omnitrophota. RNAcentral also lists the same sequence under 1 other name. The record is from RNAcentral.